CAUUCUUGUAACCCAGGCUGGAGUGCGGUGGCGUGAUCUCCGCUCACUGCAACCUCUGCCUACUGGGUUCAAGCGAUUCUCCUGCCUGAUUCUCCCAAGUAGCUGGGAUUACAGGUGCUCACUACCAUGUUGGCUAAUUUUUUGUAUUUUUAGUAGAGAUGGGGCUUUACCAUGUUGGUCAGGCUGGUCUUGAACUCCUGACCUCAAGUGAUCCGCCCACCUCGGCCUCCCAAAAUGCUGAGAUUACAGGUGUGAGCCACCGUGCCCAGUCUAAGGCACACAAUUUGCAAAGGAAAUUGAGGCUCUCGCACAAAUCCAGUCCACCCUGUACUUACACCCAACAUGCAGGAGGUGUUGACUCUCAUCCCUUGACUCAGGACAUGUGUGUAAUUGUUAAUGUCAUCGCAAGGCCUUUUGACAAGUGUAAUUGUGACAUAUACCUUGGCCUAGCAUCUGAGUUAUUUGUUGUUUCCUGGGUCCAGCUCACAGUGCCAUAUCACUGGAUCCAGACCCUUGGUAAUGUGAUUCUAUUCUGCCUUGAUACAGCCCACAGGGGUCAUUGUGACAUCGCUGGGCAUUGCACCUAGGUGAUUUGAGUCUCCUCUUCUGCCUUGGUGCUGCCCACAGGUGUAUUGUGACAUAUUGCUGGGCGUAUGUUAUGUGACUCUUGCUUGUGCCCUAAACACAUAGGCCAUUGUAACAUUGCUGAGUGCAACACCCAGGUGAUGUAACGCUUCACCCUGGACCUGUCUACAGAGGGCAUUGUAAUAUAUGUCUUCACCAAUCACCCAGGAAAUGUGACUUUUUAUUCCUCCCUGUUCUGUACUCACAGGGGGUAUUGGGACAUAUUGGGCCCAGCACCUAGCUGAUGUGACUUUUCUUUAUUCUAGGUUCUGACAACAAAGGAGAUUGUGACAUAUUGCUGGGCCUAACACUAAGGUGAUGUUAGUUAUUUGCUUUGGCUGUGCCCUUGGAAGGCAUUGAGACAUACUGCUGUGCCCAGCACCAAGAUGAUGUAACGUGACUCUUCUGCUUCAGGCCUGCCAAAAGAAAAGAUUGUGACAGAUCACUGGACCCAGCACCUAGGUGAUAUGACUCUCCUCAUUUGCCUGAGACCUGCAUAUUUUAGACAUUGUGAUAUACAACUGGAACAAACACCUAGGGGUUGGAAGGCUCCUGCCUGAGUCCCUCCCACAGGAGGCCUUGUGAUGUUUUUUUGUUUGUUUUUUGUUUUCUUUGAGAUGGAGUUUUGUUAUUGUUGCCCAGACUGGCAUGCGGUGGCGCAACCUUGGCUCACCGCAACCUCCGCCUCCCGGGUUCAAGCAGUUCUCCUGCCUCAACCUCCCGAGUAGCUGGGAUUACAGGCAUCUGCCACCAUGCCCGGCUAAUUUUCUAUUUUUAAUAGAGACGGGGUUUCUCCAUGUUGGUCAGGCUGGUCUCAAACUCCUGAAAUCAGGUGAUCCACCUGCCUUGGCCUCCCAAAAUGCUGGGAUUACAGUUGUGAGCCACUGCACCCAGCUUUGUGAUGUAUUUCUGCAUCCAUCAUGCAGGAGAUAAAACUCUGUAUUUUUGCCUGCAUUCUGCCCACAGGGAAGAUUUUGACAUAUUGUUGGGCCCAGCAACCAGUCGUUUUGUCUGUCAUAUCUGGGCCCAGCACCCAAGGGAUCUCACUCUUCUACCUGUGCCCUGCUUUCAGGAGGGAUUGUAACAUCCCUGGUCAAGCCCCCAGUGAUGUGAUUCUCCUGUUUGAUGCCUGCCCUCAGGGAGGAUUGUGACAUAGCCCUGGCCCAACACACAGUUCAUGUAACUCUUGAAUUUGCUCUUUACAUACAGGUAGGAUUGUGACAUAUAUCUGGCCAAGCGUACAGAUGUAAUGAUGACUGUCAUACCUUGAAGAAGCCAAUAGCAGAGAGAAUGUUGCUCUCAGGCUUAGGAAAAUGAGGAAGUCUUUCUGUACAAAAGUCAUAAAGAAUUACUACUCUCUCACAU
Molecule: long non-coding RNA, 1989 nt
Organism: Homo sapiens (human)
Lineage: Eukaryota; Metazoa; Chordata; Mammalia; Primates; Hominidae
Source: Ensembl